RNAcentral lists this ribosomal RNA (515 nucleotides) under uncultured bacterium. RNAcentral's name for it is "bacterial SSU rRNA". It matches the Rfam family "Bacterial small subunit ribosomal RNA", at positions 8 to 521 of the family's 1533-position model. The record is from RNAcentral.
AGAGUUUGAUCCUGGCUCAGGAUGAACGCUGGCGGCGUGCUUAACACAUGCAAGUCGAACGAAGCACUACCGACGGAACUUUUCGGAGGGAAGAUGGUAAUGACUGAGUGGCGGACGGGUGAGUAACGCGUGGGCAACCUGCCCCAUAGAGGGGGACAACAGCUGGAAACGGCUGCUAAUACCGCAUAACAAGGAGAGAGCGCAUGUUCUUUUCUUCAAAGAUUUAUCGCUAUGGGAUGGACCCGCGUCUGAUUAGCUAGUUGGUGAGGUAACGGCUCACCAAGGCGACGAUCAGUAGCCGGCUUGAGAGAGUGAACGGCCACAUUGGGACUGAGACACGGCCCAGACUCCUACGGGAGGCAGCAGUGGGGAAUAUUGCACAAUGGGGGAAACCCUGAUGCAGCGACGCCGCGUGAGUGAAGAAGUAUUUCGGUAUGUAAAGCUCUAUCAGCAGGGAAGAUAAUGACGGUACCUGACUAAGAAGCCCCGGCUAACUACGUGCCAGCAGCCGCGGU